Molecule: long non-coding RNA, 235 nt
Organism: Etheostoma spectabile (orangethroat darter)
Lineage: Eukaryota; Metazoa; Chordata; Actinopteri; Perciformes; Percidae
Exons: 2
Source: RefSeq, a predicted model, not a curated record
UGCACACAGCAUCUGUCUCCAUGAAAACGAAGGAAGACGGCUGGCAAAAUUCACAGGUUCAUGAAAGGUUGGUAUCUCGUGAACACCUUUACACAAUCACACAUUAAAAAUCCAGACCCAACCCUUAGCAAACAAGCGAUUGCCCCUGCUUUAGAAAGUUAACUAGUUGCAAGUUUGCGGUAAAAUGCAGUUGGGUGGUUGAGGUCAAAACACUAUGUAGCAGCUGUGAAUCAAA